Lotus japonicus is the source of this 1425-nucleotide long non-coding RNA. RefSeq lists it as uncharacterized. The record is from RefSeq and is a predicted model, not a curated record. NCBI's taxonomy places the organism in Eukaryota, Viridiplantae, Streptophyta, Magnoliopsida, Fabales, Fabaceae. The transcript has 2 exons.
GCUUAUUGGAUAUCUUGGGCCCCUUGGAUUAAGACCACUAAGGUGCUUAUAUUUUCUUAAGAAGAUUGAUUGGGUUUAAGCCCAUUGGUUUAUUUCACUCUACCACUGCACACAUCAGCCGCUCAAAGUAAAUACACAAGCCAUAUCUGAAACUAUCAAGCAUAGUAUAUCCUCUUCUUCCCUUCUCAAGACUUAUAAUCUUAUGUCACCAUAUCUGAUUCAUACUGGUUGUGCUUCUCAUGUCACCAGAUUGGGUGAUUCAUACUCUCCGCCUCUCUUCUCUGCCACUCCAAAUGCCCAUGCAGCUCUCAAGUUCCCCCAAAUUUGAAGAUGGAGAGGGUCGCCGGGCAUCACUGUUUCUCUAUUUUUUGGAUUGGUUGAAAAGCUGGUGUUUUAUUCUUUAAUCUGUCCUUAUCCCUUAUUUGUUUCUUACCAUCUCUUUCACGUGUUUGCGUAAUAUCUUUAUUUGUUUCUAUGUUUGGAGUUGAGUUGAGUUGAAAUGAUAACUUCCUCAUUUUUUAAAAAUACAAAAACAAUGAAAAUGCUUUGAACAUACAUUUCUUCCUCGUUUGAUUUUUCUCUAUUUAUUAGUAGUUGCUCUCUCACAAGCAAGUCAUUCCCAUUUCCCAGAACUGUUAUUUAAUUGCUUUCUCUUAGCUAACAUUCUUAAUUCUAAAAGUCCAUUUGGUACUCAGAAUUUAAUAUGAGUACUCACAGCUGCUACGGGGUGCUGCUCAUAAUCUGGCUGAGCACAGUGGCGUAACUAGAAAUUUUAGGAAGCCUAGGCAAAUUUUAUGAUUAAGUCUCUAAACUUUGCAUUUCCUUAUAAAUUUGCCUUUUUUCUAUUUUUUUUUUUGCCAAAAAACCUACCUAGUCCAAAGAAAUUUGCAUUUUUUUUACUUUGAGCCAGGGCAUUGGACCUACCAAGCCCUGUGGUAGGUCCGCCACUGGCUGAGCAUGACUGUCAGCGGCGAUCCAUUGUCCAGCAGUCCGGCCACCACCUCUCCGGAGUCAAAGACCCUAGAUCAAUCAUUUCUAAAGGAAAACAAACGUGUGUUUAUUAUAUUUGGUAUUGUGGCAGGAGUCAUUGUUUUGAUGGCACUGUUAUAUAUUUGCUGGCCUGAAAUAAGGAGACUCACUACCAGUAGACGAUGAAGUCAAACCGCGUGGAAUUGCUGUGAUUCUGUAGCUUUUUUGUUCAUCUAUUAUUGCUGGUGGUUUGAUGGUGCAGGGCCUUCUCGUGUUGCUACAGCCAACCUCUGUUCCUGUCUUUUUCAUGUUUCCUUAAUUUUCAUGUUGUAUUUCAUUAUCAGUAUGCACUUCUAUCCUAUUGUACUUGGGUUAGCACCCCUCACAUAUUUGUAUUAUUAUUCAUAUAUACGUCUGUGUAAUUUUCAUCUUGAUAAUAUUACGUACUUUGCAUCA